GGUUCCAUAGUGUAACAGCACAUCUGAUUUCCAUGCAAAAGGUCCUGGGUUCGCACCCCAGUGGAGCCA
Molecule: transfer RNA, 69 nt
Filed under: Pteropus alecto (black flying fox)
Lineage: Eukaryota; Metazoa; Chordata; Mammalia; Chiroptera; Pteropodidae
Rfam family: tRNA
About the family: Transfer RNA (tRNA) molecules are approximately 80 nucleotides in length. Their secondary structure includes four short double-helical elements and three loops (D, anti-codon, and T loops).
Source: Rfam by way of RNAcentral